Non-coding RNA from Pelodiscus sinensis (Chinese soft-shelled turtle), 972 nucleotides. The record is from RefSeq and is a predicted model, not a curated record. NCBI's taxonomy places the organism in Eukaryota, Metazoa, Chordata, Testudines, Trionychidae.
CAAAAACCGCGGCGGGAAACACUGGGACUUUGUCGUGUCAUUCUCCUGCCGCGCUUACUGAGGCGGCAGGGGAUUUGUCUAUUAUGUUUUUAUACAGAAGACUUGAAAACAUCAAAGUUGUCCAGCAGUGUUGGCUGAUUUACUUGGAUACCAUUGACAAGAUGGACCACAUCCGUUCAGACACCUUCUUGAAGCUAACAGACACAUCCCCACUUGGCACAUAGUUGAUAAUUGAUGUUUGCUUUGUUUAAAUACUUGUUUUACUAGCUAUAAGGUAUUAUGUAAGUUUAUAUUAUUGUUCUUAUUUUGGGGCAAGGAAUAGCUCAGUGGUUUGAACAUUGGCCUCUUAAACCCAGGGUUGUGAGCUCAAUCCUUGAGGGGGACAUUUAGGGAUCUGGGGCAAAUCUGUCAGGGAUGGUACUUGGUCCUGCUGUGAGGGCAGGGAACUAGAGUCAAUGACUUUUCAAGGUCCCUUCCAGUUCUAUGAGAGAGGUAUAUCUCCAUAUAUUAUAUUAUCUAUCCAGGGGGGUUCAGGAUCUCCUCCACCCAAUCACUUCAUCUGCCCAUUGAACAUCCUAUAUAAUUAAUUGUAACCUAUUGGUUGGCAGUGUUCACUGAGCUUAACAGGCAUAUGAUGUGACACUCCGCCAGCACUGUGUGUUUAAUAAACUUUCCUGCUUGCUUCAUACACUGGUGUCCAGAUUCUGUUCCUACACCUAAAAAACAGGUGAACACUUGAACCCACCCCCAGGGGAACACCAAGCUCUUUUGCACCAAAAGAGCUUGAAAAAAGAAAAGGGAAAAGCAAGCUGCAGUCUCUGGUAGCUGAUCUCUCAGUCUGAGGCAUGCAGACACACAGGCAGACCUUCAGUACCUUUCAGGACACAGAAGCAAAUCCUUGCAUGGUGACAAGUAUUGGAGGGAUAGCUGUGUUAGUCUGAAUCUGCACAAACAACAAGAAGUCCUGUGGCA